UAUUUUUCCUCUAAGCAGUUUCCUGACUGAAGGACUUCUAUAAAAUAAGAAUUUUCACACUCUGAAUAAUCAAAAAGUGAAAAAUUGCAAGAUUGGCAGCAAGCUAUUUUCCAUUGAAGUAAAACUCAGCCUACACAAAUUCACACUGGUUUCUGCUGGCAGGGAGUCUGCAGAGUAUUUAAACCCUUCAUAUCCCUGUCUGCAGAUGAACAGAAGAUUCUUGCAUCGGAAUAAACAACAAUAAACCUUCUUUUGGAAUUAAGGACCAUCUCAGAGGAAAACAUGAACAAAGGAGCUGGAAGCUACUGGCACAGAAGUUGUUAUGCCCAAAAUUUUCGUUCAAACAGAGACUGAACCAGAAGAUGAAGAAGACUGGAAACCACGCCAUACACCUUGUACAAGAGAGAGGAGCAAAAAGCAGAGUGGCAGGCAUCAGUCCCAUGCCUGUACUUUGAGUGACAGGCUUGAAUGCCAGCCUGUCCUCCCUCACAGAGCAUCCGAAACAUUAACUGGAGGAGGAGCUAGAGCUCAGGGCUCUGAGGUGAGCAGUCACUUACUAUGCAUUCUUGAUGCAUUAAAUUAAUAGUUGGAAAUCUGUAUAUAACAGAAAGACAUUUUCAGAAGGAGGUAAAAGAAAUCCAUUCCAGAGCUACUAAUAUACUUUGUUUAAGGCACACUAUCUGAAGAUGGAAAGUCAUGGUUCAAAUCUGUCAGAUUAUGUCAUAAACAGCUCAUCCGCAUACCCACAGAAGAGUACAGAGAGACAACAGCAGCAGGUGAAGCCUGAAUAAUACCUUGCUCUGGCUGGUCCCAGGCCCAUGCCAGGAGCCAGCAGCCCAUCUAAAAUGUGUGUUGACAAGACCAGAGGCACAAAUACAGGCAGGAACCCAAAUUAACAACUCAGAGUAAGGGACACCAUUUUCAGGUCUCUCUCAGGGCACUUACAGAAGAGCCUCAGUCCUGGUGUAUGGAAACCCACUGCCAUGAGUCAAUCAUGGAGCAUACUGCCAACAGAGGGGGGGUACGGUCUGGGGGUUCAGAACACAUUGUGGGGUGCAGAGGAAAAGCAUUUAGGAAUUACACAAUUUAUUGUGGGAUGUUUAUAGGAGGAGCUAAAGGUGGGGAAAAAGAGGGAUCAGUAUGAUUUGGGGAUGAAUGAGUAUGGGAAAAUAAAGGCAUGAAAGGGGUCAGUCACACAUAAACAUCUGACAGGUCAGUAAAGUUGACUGGCCAUGCCCUGCACUGGAUCAAUGCAACUUUUGCUUAUAAAACUGCUCUUCUAGCUCUUUUCCUGAAUGAAGGAUGCUCUGUCUGUGUUUAUGGUGGUGCAUGGGGGUGUACGUGCUGGCAACUAGCAUAGGACUAGGGGCCAAGAGGCCCUGUGAUGCCAGCACUGGAGGUGAGUGCUGGUGUGGCAUGUGCAUGUGACUGCUGACAAAGAUCCAGCUGGACCAGCUCCUGGGUAGGUGAAGAGGAGGCCUGAGAGGCCACUGGUGAACACCAAAUUUAUCAUGUGCCACCAGUGUACCUUUGCAGAAAAGAAGCACAUUUUCACUGUGAGGUUGACUGAACACUAGCAGAGGUUACCCACAGAGGCUGUGGAGUCAUAUUCAAAAGCUGUCAGGACAUGGUCCUGGGUGACCAGCUCUAGUUGGCCCUGCUUGAGCAGGAGAAUUGGACCAGAUGGCCUCCAGAGGUCUCUGCCAGCCUCAACCAUUCUAUGAUUCUGAGAUUCUGUAUGGGGUCCAAGUCUGUAUCUAAGGGCAAGACCACAGGAACAGCUGGAUAUUGGGGGAUUUGAGGAGCCCUGUCUCUCUAGGGUUGAGGCAACUGAAAAGCAUGAGGAUUCAGGACCAGCUACUGGUGAUAUCUCAAGUGCAUGUGCAUGUCUGUGUGUGCCUGUGAGUGGUACUGCAGCCCCAGAGCCUCAUAUAUUCAGGUGUCAGCAACUGGGGAGAUUCAGAUCCAGGGGUAGCUCAUGGGAAGGCCCAUGACUAAGUCCAUUUUCUAGAGGAAUCCAGAAUAUAUAUAUGUAUGUAUACAUGUAGGUGUAUGUGUGUAUUUCCCACUGAUAGACCUUCAUCCUGAUCAGAGAAGGGAGCAGGAUGAAGUCACUAGUACUAUUUGUGUUUGUGUGAGUGCUGAGUGUGUUGGUCUAUGAAGACCAAAGUGACAGCCACAUAUAUAUGUACUUAUGUGUUUAUAUAUGUGAGUUCACACAAGUUCACAUAAGUUCCCACUGGUUAUAUAUCCUCAGCCUUGCUGUUGGAUCAGCGUACAGGGAGCUGCUGCAGCCUCACCUGGAAUGGGAUACUGGAUUCAGCACGCCCUAAUAAUAUCAACAUAAAAGAAAUUUUCAUUUCAAUUGCCAGUAGGGUACUGAAGUCAUUGCAGCAUCUAACAACUAAGACCCACUUACUAGUGAAAAUAUCUCAUCCAUACUAGGCAAUAUAAUCAAGAUUUUUAUAUUUUGAAGUUAUACAAUCAUACCAGAGUAUCCAGAAAAAGGUUCACUUUUUUUUUUUUUUUUUAUGAACUGUAUAGGUUUUCAGAAAUGUUUCCCAAAAGGAAAAUUUCUACAUUCUCUAACCUCAAAAACAUCCACAGCUUGUCCUUGCAUUCAAAACGAAAAUAUAAUUUCACUAGAAGUUGAACAAAAUGUUGUCACUGAAGACUUUUAGAGAUCUGUAGUUAGCCUCACCUGUGGGAAACCUGCAUAAAUUUACUGUUUGCUGAACUUCUUCUCUUAUGGCUAUACAUAUUCAACAGUGGAAAAGUUAAAAAAAAGUUGUACUUUAGAACAGCUGAAUUUGCCAUUUUCCUUCAUUAUCAACAACAAAAAUUCUGUGUGGAAACUAUCAGAUUUUUUGUGCCAUUAUAUUUAUUUGUUUUAAAAAUAAAUAUAGACCUACCAAGAAAUAAGAUUUCAAUGUUUUAGUGUCUUUUUCCCAAACUGAACAUGAAUAGUUUUUCCCACCAGGUCCAGAGUCCACUAGAUUCUUAAUUAAAUUAGAAAUUCCUGCUGUUCUCACUUCAUUUCACAGCAGAUGUUGGCACUAACUUUGACAGUGAAUACAAGGAUUACUGUUUAAAAACUCCUUCAGUUACAGACAGACUAACACUGCCAAGUGUAAACUUAGUCUCCCUAUUGGAACGCUGAAACCAAAAGGAAAAGGAAGAUGACACUAAGACACAUAAAACAAGUAAAUCUGAGCCAGCUUGAGUCCAGGUGCAAUACAGUAUGCAAGCAUGUGCUGCAAUCAAACUAAUAAGCCUCUCCCAGCCUCAGUGCUUAUUAACUUGUUCACAACACUGAUUCAGCAUGAUUACAUUUCUUCCAUCUCCAAACUAGCAAGUUUGUGCUGUACUGUAGAGGAAUUUAACAAUUUCAGUCUUGGAUUAAGUAUUUUUGCAUUGUGCUUCAUUGCCUGAUUUAGACAUACAAUAACCUUGCAGUCUAAAGGACUCUUGGUUGUGGUUUUGUUUUUUUUUGUGUGUGUGUGUUUGUUUUUUUUUGGUUGGUUGUUGCUUUUGGUUUUUUGUUUGGUUGUGUGUGUUUUGUAUUUUUUUGUUUGUUUGGUUUUGGUUUUUGUUUUUUUCUAGCAACUGAGAACUAAGAGCAGGAAAAGGCAGAGAGCAGAAGAGGAAGCCUUGUCUGCUCUUGAUGGACAUAGUUGCCUGGUUAUUUUCUCUCACCACUAUCAUUAUUCAAUUGAGUUUCUGAUAGUUACUCCUAAUUUACCCUACUUUGAGAGUGGCUUGCCUCCUAAAGAUGCCAGUGCACUUUCUUCAGCAGCAGGAGCUUCCCAUGAUGUACUGAAACUACAUUUUCUCUCCUCUUUCUUUCUGGCAGCAUGCUGUGCCCAUCAGCUAACUAAGAGCUUCCAUCCCAGAGGAGGCUGCAUUUCAUUAGUGAUGUACUGUGCAUAUAUAUAGUUCAAAUCUGGUCUGAAGAUAAAAAUAUUAAUAAUUGGAUCAGUAGUGGUUUGAAUUCUUUAUGGCCUCUAUUUCUAUGCUGUCAUUGUCUCUCUGUGCAGUAUGAGAAUGUGCACAGAUCUCUGGCAUAAUACACUUUUUUUUUUUUUCCUGAGUAAGCAACAAAACCCUACAGGGUUUCGAGAGACCAUUUAUUUUUUUUUUUUUUUAAAUAAGUUUCUAGCUUACUUCAUUGCCCCGGUCUCAGGGAGCUUCAUAGCCAUAAAGGCUGCCAGCCUCUCUUCAGGACUUAAUAGGAAGUCUGCCAGCACACAGAUCAAUGUGGACGAGAUAAUGAUUACUGCUGUCAAACUACUCAUUUUUAAACGUGAAAUCUGGACUGCCUUUUGUUUGGUGCACUGUAUGCAAGAAACCCAAUUUUUCAUGUGAUCAAGGACACACUGAUGGAUAGUGCUUGAUAUGACAUUAAAUUAAGUGCUUCUUAAAGGCACCUUUAAAGGAAACUAUUACUGAACUAAUGAUGUGCAAGUGAUUGAACUUCUUCACUUCCCAUCUCUGUGAUGUCAUUCUGAUGAACAAGGAGACACUGGCAUGUGGCUGGUAGUUAAUGAAAGCAGAUUUUGGCCUGGCAAACAUCUGUCCUUCUACAUUUAGCAAAGUUCCCUGUAUUUAAUUUUUAAUAAUAGCUAAGGUUUAAAAAGAAAGACUUAAUAGCAUUUCUAUAAUAAUAAGCAUUCUGACACUUUCGGCACUUCAGUUCUUCAGCAAAGCCAUUAAUAUUAAUCUACCUAGGUGACUUCCCAAACCUUUCCUUAUAUUAUACCUUUCUAGAGAUAGUUAUCUUUUAAUACAGUUUUAAAUAAAAAAAUAAAUAAAUAACCUUAUUGAGAGAGAAAACUAGAACCUGAAAGGAGAGCUAAUUUCCUCUCUAAGCCCUGCACUGACUUUUUGAGUGACCAUGAGGAAAUUAAUUAAUUGACUAUGUUUCAAGUCCUGCCUUUAAAAUUGAAAUUGCAUUUUUUUCAUACAUUCCCUCUAUUUAAAUUCAUAGCUCUGUGAAGAAAGCACUGUCUCUUGCAGUAUAUUUUUAGAGUAUUCAAAACAAUGAGAUGCUUAUCUCUCACAUUUCAGGUAAAUCCUAAAGAUGUUAUUAUAAUGCAAAAAAUCAAUAAAAUAUACAUAGUCAACAUGUACACCAAGAAAUUAUUCCACUUUUUUCUUUGCCCGAUGUCUUUUAGAUAAAACAGUAAACCAUAAUUCAUAUUCAUGUUUUUCUACUGCUACAGAGGGCUUUAUGGAGCUUGGGAUGAAAAACAUAUCUAAAUGCAACCACACCUCCACCCUCAUCUCACACCAGUCUCUGUUCCUUUCUUUCAUUCUUUUAUUGAAACUUCAUAACAUAUUGUCAACUGCAAAGUGCUGGAUCAGACUCAGAAAAGCAGAAAAAUGUUCUCCUGAGAUAGUAAGGGAUUCCUUGGACCACCAGAAUGGAAAAAAAGGUUUUCUUUAGCCAUUAUUAUCCCUAGAUCUGAGGGAAAUGCACUUCUUUCUUUUCCACUCACAGUGGCCUUUUUUUCCACCCUGCUAGACAGCAACACAACUGUGAAAGUGAAAGGCAAAUUCUAUUUUAGGACAGGUGGCCUUUUGCUCUUUUCUUAUUCCUCUAUUCCCACCCUAAGACUGAUAACCACUUUAAGUCCUACUAUAACUCAGAUGACAACAGAUUCCACAUGGGUAUUUCUGUUGUUGCUUCUUGACGUCUCAGUUAAAGUCUUGAAAAAGGAUGGAAAAUCCUUCACACAGAGAAACUGUAUCAAUCUGACCCCUGCAUUGACUCUGUAUGAAGAACAGCUUAGCAGGCUUUAUUGUCCUGUGGAGUUUUCAAAAGAAAUUGUGUGCAUUCCCAUCUACAUGGAAUCAUAGGUAUUCUAUACUAUUUGGAAGAAACAAACUGACAUAUGAAUGUCAAGAUUAUUAGCGAUUAUCCUAAAUGUACAUGCUGUAUAGAGUGUAUAGGUGGGCCCCUGCUGCAUAUUGGCAGAAUGAACCUUUACAUUAUAUGCUGUAGAUGUUCCUGAAACUUAGUCAUGCUAUUGAUUGUGAAUUCUUUAAAAGAUUUUUUUUUCUUAUUAUUUUAACUUAAAAGCAAAAAAAAGUAGUGUGGGAUGGUUUCUUUCCUGGAGGGCUGACAUAAGAGACCGCUAACCAUAACCUUAUGUUCUCAGUUUGGUCUGGAUAGUUAGUUCAAAAUGCUAAAAGGUGUGAUUAUAAUCACCUUUUCUAUCUGACAUAUGACAGCAUGAAUGUAGACUAACAGUGGCUAGGUAAUGUUCUUCCCCUCUCCUCCAUAACAUCCAUUUUUUAAUAUCUUUUUCUUUCUUAGUUUUGUUGCACUGAUAAAGAUCUCCUGUGGUGAAAUUCAGGCUAAAACUAAAAAACAGAACAACCCCUGUGCAGCUCUUACUUGUGCUCUCUUAUGAAGAAAAGAUUUUUAGAACUAGCAAGGGAGGAACAAACAGACAUGUCCAUUGUUUCAAAGCCUUGUCUUUCAAUUUAAAAAAAAAACCAAACACACAAACAAAAGACCAACAACAACAAAAAAGCCUUACACCUUUAAGUUAACACAUCUAUUUCAUUUCACAGAUUAUAUCAAUGCAUAAAAAAAAAAAAAAAAAAUCUAGUAAUUUCUGGAAUGUGAAUUUUUCCCCUUCAUUUCAUUUAUGCGUCUGUGUGCAAGGUGGACAAAGAAGAGGUCAGCAAUCAGGUAGAUAAGCUACAGAGAGUAUCCACACUAUGUAGCAUUUUAAGCAAAAUUAUGACAUUCUUGUAAUGGACUUUUAUUUUCCUAACAAAGGAAGAAACUUUCAGCAGCUUCAGUAUAUCUAUUAUUUAUUCUGUGGUCUGACAUAUUGUCCAUGCUGCAAUUAAGCCAAGUGAAAAAGAGUACUGUCACAAGGCUCUCAUCAUGGUCCAUCCCUCAGUAUAAGCUAAAUACCACAAUAGAUGGUCCUGUCUCCUCAGACCUGCAAGAUUAACUGUGCACUUGCUCACUCAUACACGGUUUCAACCAAAACAGUCAGUGCUAGAAAAACAUAUUGUUCUUCCAUCAGACCAGGAUGUGUCAGCCUUGUCUAAGCUGCAUCACUCCCCAACAGAAAAAAUACUUUCACCCAUAACAACCCAAAAAGUAAUCCCAAACCAGCAGUCUUCUGUGCCUGGUCAAAUUUGUAACACAGGCUUUUCAGAAUUCUAGCUAAUGCAUAUUUCAUAACAAUCAGAACCUUCUGCUUUUGGACACUAAAAGUAGUGUUUAAGCUAGAUCCAGUAAAACGUAUCUUGUUUCACUUUAGCACACAAGCCUUUUUUAUGUAUUCUCCUUGCACCUCAGAUACCAAAUGUUAAAAUAUAAAAUAAAACUGCUUACAACAGACAAUAAUCACUGUUACAUUUACUCAGAUUUUUAUAAAAAUUAAAAACAAAUACAAAGGCAGCAAGAAAACAAUCACUGUAGUUCUUUCUGCAAUACUGUAUUCCAUAAGAGUUCAAGGUAGCACAGAUUGAUCUUGCUCUAACACAAAUCUUGCAUGUCUGUUGAGCUGAAACCUUCUGCUACAAAAUCUCUGAUGAGAAAUAAAUAAUGUGGAACAUGUAGGUGACAUUUUACAGGGUCAAUUUUCCAGCCAUUAAAAGGUAAUUCCUUCACUGUUGCCUAUUCAUUGCUGUCCAGCUAUUUCAAAUGUUCUCAAAUGUGAAAUGAAAUCUCACUUGCCCUUUAUUUGGAAAGAAAAUUUGAAGGAAAAAAAGUAUACCUGUAUACAAGAAUUGUCUGAGCUGAUUUUCAUAUUACACACACUCAGGUAGGACAGGAGUAAAUCCACAGUACUCUAUACAGUGAUAUUUGUAUGAGCAAUGUGUUGGGAAUGAAAUAAAAACUGGAAAUGUAUUUUCCACCAGUGCAUGAUAGAUAUUUGUAAACAUUUAUUAAAAAAAUUUAAAAUAAAGUGCUAUUGAUUCUAUUUUGAAGUUUCUUCUUUAGUAAAAAGCUACAUCUUGACAAGAAAAGAUACGUCUUGGCAUUGAUAACAUGUGAGGUGAAUUGGACAUCAAAGAACACAUCCUAACUAAAAAGGAAAUAUAGCUUUCUCCUCUUAAUUAAUGACUAUCAGCCAUUACAUUUCAGAAAUUAGAAGUCAGUUAAAUAAAAGUGUCAUACAAAAUGGGCAUUUUUUUGACAUCUCAUCAACACCAUAUUCGUUCUCAUGUGGUAUUGAAGUCACAGAAGCUAAAGAAAGGGAUGAAAGCAGUAUAUGCAACAUAUAGUCCCACUGAGAGUAUACCAUCCUGCAACAAUCUCACUAUAUCACAGAAUCACAGAAUGGUUGGCAUUGGAAGGGACCUCUGGAGAUAUCUAGUCCAAUCUACCUGAUAAAUCGGGUUCACGCAGAGCAGAUCACACAGGAAUGCGUCCAAGUGGGUUUUGAAUGUCUCCAGAGGAUAAUCCGCAGCCUCUCUGGGCAGCCUGUUCCAGUGCUCUCUCACCCUCAAAGUAAAGAAGUUUCUCCUCAUGUUUAGACGGAACCUUCUAUGUUUCAGUCUGUGUCUGUUGCCCCUCAUCCUAUUGUUGGGCACCGCUGAAAAGAUUCUGGUCCCAUCCUCCUGAUGCCCACCCUUCAGAUAUUUAUAAGCAUAAAUAAGAUCCCCUCUCAGCCUUCUCCAGGCUGAACAGACCCAGCUCUCUCCAUCUUCCUCUUCAUCUCCAUCUUCAGAGCCCUAAUCAUCUUCGUAGCCCUCCACUGCCCUCCCUCCAGUAACUCCCUGGAGAACCCCACUAACUACAGGCUUCCAAACACACUCUGCACCACUGGUCACAAACCUCUGAGCUCUGCCAUCCAGCCAGUUCCUGAUCCAUCUCACUGCAUUCAUCCAACCCACACUUCUUGAGCUUGCCUCCGAGAAUGCUGUGAGACAAUGUGAAAAGCCUUGCUGAAGUCAAAGUAGACAACAUCCACUGCUCUCUCCCCACCUACCUAGCCAGUCGUAUCAUCAUAUAAGGCUAUGAUGUUGGCCAAACAUGAUUUCCCCUUAGUGAAUCCAUGUUGACUACUCCUGAUAACCUUCUUUUCCUCCACAUGCUUGGAGAUGAUGUCCAAAAUGAUUUAUACUUUUGUUACCUGUGGAAUAAGCAGGACAGCAGUCACUAGUUAUUUAUCCUUAGUUUCAUUGAAAAGGCUUAACUGUACCUUGAUGACAGCAAAUACUUGUUUUCCUAACAAUAAAUGCACAGAAGAAACAUGUAACAUGGUUCAUUUAUAUGUAUUUACAAACAGAAGAACAAUAUGGCCUUGUUUUUAGUGACAUCAAUUACAAGUUACACAUGGGAGUGCAUUUAUAGUCACUAAUGCAUGUUGAAUAUGCUGGUAUAGUAUGGAUUUUGCUUUUGCCACUAUUCCCUAUCUUCCACCUGUUGAGAAAGAGACAAGUCUUCUCUUGAAUUUGAACAGCCAUGGCUUGAUCUGCCACUGAUAAUAAAUGUUUUUGGUGGGUAUCACACUUGACUAAUUCAGUAGGAUCAGGAAGAAACCUGCAAAUACCCCUUAUGCAUAAAAGCAAACAAUUUUUUAUUGCUUCUGAAAAUCUUAGAUCAAAAUGGCAUGGGAAAGCUGGGGAAUAUAUUAAAAUGGAUGUUCAUUUCUCUCUACCUAAUUUCCUUGGAAAAAGUAUUAAAUACUCAAGGUUUCUUCAAAAUAUAGAUUAUCUGAUGCCAAAAAACUUAACAAGCCAGUCUCUGUAUCUUUAUUCCCCCUAAAAUUCACAGAUUUUAUUUUUAAACUUGGCAAACAUAUCCAGUUCAAUGGAAUCAGUCUUUUAAUUCAGACGGGAAAAAUUCACCCAUUUCAUAAUUUUACACAGUACAGAGAUUAUCUGGCUUGAGCUUAAACUGUAAAAAAUAUCCUUAAAAAAAUGUCAUAUUGGACUUCAAUGAUUCUUGUCUUAGCAUGUUCUCUCCUAAACAGAAACAAUAACAAAAAAACCAAACCAAACUAAAGAAAUAUUAGAAAAGGAAAGCAAACAAAAAAACAAACAAACAAAAAGUAGUAGAAGAAGAAAUAAACUGAAACAGGAAUAAGGUAUAUGCUGCUGCAUUGGAUUCAUAGACUCCAUCAUUGUUAAAGGAGAGCAGAAUUCGCACUUGCCAUUGAGAUGUUGAUACUAAUGUUGUUGAGGGUAUCUGUCUUCCAUUCUGUUCCAUCAUUCUCACUGUUCUGUCUCUUUUGCACUAACAAGAAAAAAGUAAAGCAAAAUGUAAACAGAUAAGACCCUAUGAAUGGGAAACAAACUGGGUAAAAAUAAGACAGCAUCAUUUUUUAUCAGCAACUGAUCAGGGAAGGGCCUUCCACAGCCAAAAAAAAAAAAAAAAAAAAAAAAAAAUUUUAAAAAAAAUAUAUAUAUAUAUAUAUAUGUAUAUAUAUAUAUAUAUAUAAGAAAAUAAAUAGAGAAUAUCUCAUGUAGUCUUUGGGGACAGGAACCCUCCCUUUCCCCAACAACCAAACAGGUUUUGUUGUGACAAAAUUUAGCCUAUCUUACAGAUAUACCAGAACUGACAAGACAAAGGAGCUUUAAUUUAAAGCUUAUUCCUCUGUGUCCAAAAGAGCCUGUAUAGUCUAUUAAAGUAAUUUAGAAUAAUUCUUCCUGCUAUGAAGUGAAUCUGGACUACCACUAGUAAAUGUCAGAGUUGCAUUUACUAUCUUGUGAAGAGAUACAAUGCUGAGUGGUGAAGAGAUAUGUAGGAACUAUUUUUUAAAUAACAAGUCAUUAGAAGACAAAAUUAGAAUCCUUUUUAAAGGUAAUUUAUAGUAACAAGAAAACAAUAAUUCAAAGCCUAGAAAAAGGAAUCUUGGUACAGAUCCAGAUCCAGGUGAACAAAGAGAUAUAUAUGAGUUUACAGUUAAUUAGGAGAAAAAUACAUAGAAUAUGGAAAUAAAGAUGUAAGAGGGAAUAAAUUCUAUUUCUUCUCUUAUUGGAAUCCCCAUCAAAGCCAAGACUGCAAUUAUAAUAUGCAGUCUGGUGCUGGUGGCACAUGAUUUAUUUAAAAUUCAGGAUUAGAUGGUGAGGAAAGCACAGGAAUUAUACCAUGUGAUUCACUCUAGCAGGGAUUUUCAUGUUAGUUACAGCAAAAGAAAAUGAAACAAUCUAUUAGAAGGCUUGACAUCAAAUUUUAAGAUAAAUUAGGAGAAAAAAAAAAAUGGAAAGAGCCAAUCCAGAAAGUGCAAAGAUUCCUACCUCGGUAUUUUUCUUGCUCCAAUAUCAAGUAUAUUUUUUACAGAGUUAAGUUUCAGGGUCAUCCAGCAAGACACAAGCACAAAAUGGCAAAAUCUGCAAUAUGAGGAUAAUUCACAUUGAGAUAGAUAGAUACAUAGAUAGAUAGAUAGACAGAUAGAUAGAUAGAUAGAUAGAUAGACAGACAGAUAAAGCAGUUCUUUAACAGAUAUCAACUAUUUUUUUAAACAAGAAAAUAUAUGCUGUCCCUGCUUAGCUAAUCUAUGACACUGAGACUUUAGAGUGAGCAUUGAAAACCUAAGGAGCUCUGGGCUCCUACAUGAAGCUUGUCCAGAGCUCCGUAUUGGCAGCAGGGUCUGUAGAUAUGGCUUGACAGUUACUCUUGUAAUUUCUCCUCAUCUUUCCAUUGCCUCUUCCUAAGCCAUCAUGGGUUGGUUUGCUGAGUUCAAAGGAAGAUGAAGUACUAAUAUUUUGCUUUUUCUUCAAGGGUUUUUGUGUCAGAAUGCAAACCCCCCUCUCUCCCCCUCUCUUCCUUUGAUAUGGAAGGCAUAGACACAUCUCCCUCUCUCUCUGCUGCUUGAGGCUAACAGCUUCUUUUGUUUGACCCCAGAGCCCCAUGGUCAGGGUCGUUAAGAGAGACCAGAAGGGAGUGCAGGUGCCAGGGAGCUGCUGGGCGCCGGCCAGUGUGGGGGAUGGUUGGAAGCUUCAGGGGCACCCCACAGCCAGUGCUGGUGCAGAGAAGCUUCUGGAAUGCCUACAGUCAGAUCUGAUCAGGCAAUAAAAAUGGGAUUCUCACCGAGGCCUGUUCCUUGCGUGCGACCUCUUGGAGUUACGAGCUGAGCUGCUGCCACCAGGAGACACUUCCCCACCCCUGCCCCAGGACAGAGGCUCCACUUGCCUUGCCGCCAUGUGUGUGAGUAAAAUUAACCCUCGCAGGAUUGUGAGUGUAUCUAAUUUCCAUGCACAUUUGCAUGUGUAUUUACACUUUCCAUGCACAUUUGCAUGCAUACUUUCUGUGCUCAAUACGAGCACGUGUAUAAAUUAUUUCCUCGCAUAAUCACGAGUGUAUUUUCCUCCCGUGCCUCCACAUAAGCAUGUGUAAUACUCUGUGCGUAUUUGCACAUGUAUUUCUCCUCACAGGGUUGCGAGUGUAUUAUGAAUUAAUCCUCACAGAAUUGUGAGUGUACACUUUCUGUACUCAAUACGAGUAUGUGUAUCCCUUUAAAAUAAUCCAACACUGUGUUCAGGCGUGUACUCUUCCUGGGCUCAGGGACGGCGCUGGCAUUGUUUUUGGUGAAGCCACGUGCAUGCACACUGUGGACCUCCUGUUGUAUUAGUUGCUGCCCCUUAAUAAUUACC
Columba livia (rock pigeon) is the source of this 12573-nucleotide long non-coding RNA. RefSeq lists it as uncharacterized. The transcript has 3 exons. The record is from RefSeq and is a predicted model, not a curated record. Lineage: Eukaryota; Metazoa; Chordata; Aves; Columbiformes; Columbidae.